GAAGAGUUUGAUCCUGGCUCAGGGUUAACGCUGGCGGUAUGUCUAAUACAUGCAAGUCGAGCGCCCCCACCCAGUUUACAAAAUGCUUUAGUCUGUUAUCUACUGUGUUGAAAGCAAAUUUUUAAUCCUCAUGUAGUGUUCCGCUACAUUGCGGUUGAAAAUUUGCUUUCGCCUUGUAUCUAACAGUCUGCAUCGUUUUGUCGGUUGAGUGGGGGAGCGGCGAACGGGUGAGUAACACGUUGGAACCUGCCUUAAGCUCGGGGAUACUCCGUAGAAAUACGGGUUAAUACCGGAUGGUCCCGAAAGGGUAAAGCUUUUGCGGCUUAAGAGGGUCCUGCGGCCUAUCAGCUAGUUGGUGGGGUAGAAGCCUACCAAGGCAAUGACGGGUAGCUGAUCUGAGAGGAUGAUCAGUCACAAUGGAACUGAGACACGGUCCAUACUCCUACGGGAGGCAGCAGUAAAGAAUCUUCCACAAUGGGCGCAAGCCUGAUGGAGCGAUACCGCGUGAACGAUGAAGGUCGUAAGAUCGUAAAGUUCUUUUUUGGGGGAAGAAUUCUGACGGUACCCCAAGAAUAAGCACCGGCUAACUCCGUGCCAGCAGCCGCGGUAAUACGGAGGGUGCAAGCGUUACCCGGAAUUAUUGGGCGUAAAGCGUCCGCAGGUGGUUUGUUAAGUUGAAUGUUAAAUCUCGGAGCUCAACUCCGAGUUCGUAUUCAAAACUGGCGAACUAGAGAAUUUUAGAGGUGCGUGGAAUUCUGUGUGUAGGGGUAAAAUCCGUAGAUACACAGAGGAACACCAAAAGCGAAAGCAGCGCACUGGAAAAUUUCUGACACUCAUGGACGAAAGCGUGGGGAUCAAACAGGAUUAGAUACCCUGGUAGUCCACGCUGUAAACUAUGGAUACUAGGUAUAAGUCGGGCUCGACCCCGAUUUGUGCCGACGCUAACGCAUUAAGUAUCCCGCCUGGGAAGUACGGUCGCAAGAUUAAAACUCAAAGGAAUAGACGGGGACCCACACAAGCGGUGGAGCAUCUGGCUUAAUUCGAUAGUAAGCGAGGAACCUUACCUAGGCUUGACAUCUAGAGAAUCUUUUGGAAACAAGAGAGUGCCUCACGGAACUCUAAGACAGGUGCUGCAUGGUUGUCGUCAGCUCGUGCCUUGAGGUGUUCGGUUAAGUCCGUAAACGAGCGCAACCCAUGUGCUGUGUUGCAUUUUUCACAGCAGACUGCCGAUUCAAAGUCGGAGGAAGGUAUGGAUGACGUCAAAUCAGCAUGGCCUUUAUGCCUAGGGCCGCACAGAUGCUACAAUGGUCAGUACAGCAGGUAGCAAAGCAGUAAUGCCGAGCCAAUCCUAUAAAGCUGAUCUUAGUUCGAAUUGAGGGCUGCAACUCGCCCUCAUGAAGUUGGAAUCGCUAGUAACCGCGCAUCAGCCAUGGCGCGGUGAAUAUGUUCCUGGGUCUUGUACUCACCGCCCGUCACACUAUGAAAGAUGGGAGCACCCGAAGUACCCUUAGCUUUUAGCGGGGUCCUAAGGUGAAACCAUUGAUUGGAGUGAAGUCGUAACAAGGUAUCCGUAGGAGAACCUGCGGAUGGAAUAUCUCUUUU
RNAcentral lists this ribosomal RNA (1602 nucleotides) under Candidatus Peregrinibacteria bacterium CG_4_10_14_0_2_um_filter_38_24. RNAcentral's name for it is "bacterial SSU rRNA". It matches the Rfam family "Bacterial small subunit ribosomal RNA". Lineage: Bacteria; Candidatus Peregrinibacteriota. The record is from RNAcentral.